Molecule: transfer RNA, 73 nt
Filed under: Ovis aries (sheep)
Lineage: Eukaryota; Metazoa; Chordata; Mammalia; Artiodactyla; Bovidae
Rfam family: tRNA
About the family: Transfer RNA (tRNA) molecules are approximately 80 nucleotides in length.
Source: Rfam by way of RNAcentral
UCCCUGGUAGUCUAGUGGCUGGGACUCUGCUCUUUAAAUGCAGGAGGCACUGGUUUGAUCCCUGGUUAAGGAA